This 1510-nucleotide long non-coding RNA is filed under the name Gadus morhua (Atlantic cod). RNAcentral's name for it is "lncRNA (ENSGMOG00000036208.1)". The record is from RNAcentral. Lineage: Eukaryota; Metazoa; Chordata; Actinopteri; Gadiformes; Gadidae.
GGACCGCUACAAAAACCGCCCCCAGGGCGCAAUUUUCCAUGAUAUUUGUAUAGCCACAUUUGUUUCAAAAUACAGAGUUCUGUACGGGAAAGAGCAGCACAGCAAGGGCUCUGUUAAACUGGAAAAAAACACUGGCUUUGUUAAGAUGAGAACUAGGGGAUCUGAUGCUGUUGUUAGAUACGCUCGUUUCUCACAAACCAAAUAUCCAGAAAAGCACUACCAAAGUUUGCUACAAUUGUUUUUGCCUCAUUAUUCAACAGAUGAGAUAAAACCUCCACCGUACAACAGUUAUGAGCAGUUUUACAGAACCGGUUCCAUCACUAACAGCAGCAAUACAACGCAAAGUGUUAAGGAAGUUGUAGAUUUGAACAGAUCCCUGUUUGAAGUAGAUGCAGAUGAGCUCGACAGAUGCCAAGAGGUUGCAGGGCACCACGGGGCUCACGACGAGGCAUGGGCAGACCUUUGUCCUGAAUCUGAGUUGGAGCGAUUAGAAUGUCAGGAGGAGAUGACUAACAACAACGACACAAAUCAAAAUGAAAGAGAAGCCAUACCGGACUUGCAGUCGGACACAAUCGCGACACUGUCUAAAGAAUUUCCCACACACUCGAUACAAAGAGCUGAAGGUCUGUCCAUUAUGCGCACGUUAAACGAACAACAAACUCAAAUUUUUUACAAAAUCCGCGCAUGGUGCCUCGACAAAGUCAAUGGCAAAAACCCUGACCCGUUUCGCGUAUUCAUUUCAGGGGGAGCAGGCACGGGAAAGUCCCACCUGAUUAAAGCUGUGUACUACGAGUCAUGCAGACUCUUUGCAAGAAUGUCCAUUAAUCCAGACGACACUCAUGUUUUGCUAGCUGCUCCUACAGGAGUAGCAGCAUAUAAUAUCAACGGAAGCACAAUACACAGCACCUUUGCUAUUACUACAUCUGCCAAACUGCCAUAUCAACCUCUAGGAGAUGAAAGAAUCAAUUCGUUAAGAGCCACCAUGAAAGACUUACAAAUACUCAUUUUGGACGAGGUGAGUAUGGUUGAUCAUAAAAUCCUGACGUAUGUCCAUGGCAGACUACGACAAAUAAAGCAACAAGGAGAUUAUGCAUUGUUUGGGAAUGUAUCAAUCAUGGCAGUUGGUGACUUCUUCCAGCUCGGCCCUGUAAUGGAACACAUCUUUACCGCGAGCAAUUGGUGACCGAUCUGUGGAACAAUCAUUUCACUCACAUUGAGUUGACUAAGAUAAUGCGACAAAAAAACAAAGAGUUUGCUGAAACCUUGAAUCGUCUUAGGAAACACAGAAAAGGGGACAAUCUUUAUGAGCGAGAUGAAAUCUUACUAAGACAACGCGAGACAGGCGAGGGGGAACUGACACAGGACCUUCACAUUUUCUCAACAAACACUGCAGUGGCAGUCCAUAACAUCACCAUGUUAAACAAGACAUGUACGGAUAUAGUGCAAAUUCAAGCUCAAGAUACUCAGAGAGACCCUAACACAGGAAAUGUAACGAAAAAACGUAGUCCAC